UGGAUGUCCCGGUUUAGGCAGAAGUAGGCGUGCAGUAGGCAAAUCCGCUGCACAUAUACCGAGGCUGCCGAUCGAGCGAGCAUGGCUUGCGAAGUCACUGAACGGGGUUCCAGGAAAAGCCACUAAGCUUCAGCUUGCAACGACCGUACCGCAAACCGACACUGGUGCGCGAGAUGAGUAUUCUAAGGCGCUUGAGAGAACUCUGGAGAAGGAACUCGGCAAAUUGACACCGUAACUUCGGGAGAAGGUGUGCCCUAGUAGUGUGAUGAGAGCAUCUGAGCAUGAACGGGUUGCAAAAAAUUGGUGGCUGCGACUGUUUAUUAAAAACACAGCACUCUGCAAACACGAAAGUGGACGUAUAGGGUGUGACGCCUGCCCGGUGCUGGAAGAUUAAUUGAUGGGGUGCAAGCUCUUGAUCGAAGUCCCAGUAAACGGCGGCCGUAACAAUAACGGUCCUAAGGUAGCGAAAUUCCUUGUCGGGUAAGUUCCGACCUGCACGAAUGGCGUAACGAUGGCCACACUGUCUCCUCCAGAGACUCAGCGAAGUUGAAAUGUUUGUGAUGAUGCAAUCUCCCCGCGGAAAGACGGAAAGACCCCAUGAACCUUUACUGUAGCUUUGUAUUGGACUUUGAACGGAUCUGUGUAGGAUAGGUGGGAGGCUUUGAAGGCAGGAUGCUAGUUCUGCUGGAGCCGACGUUGAAAUACCACCCUGGUGCGUUUGAGGUUCUAACCUAGGUCCCUGAACCGGGACUGGGGACAGUGCAUGGUAGGCAGUUUGACUGGGGCGGUCUCCUCCCAAAGCGUAACGGAGGAGUUCGAAGGUACGCUAGCUACGGUCGGACAUCGUGACGAUAGUGCAAUGGCAUAAGCGUGCUUAACUGCGAGACUGACAAGUCGAGCAGAUGCGAAAGCAGGACAUAGUGAUCCGGUGGUUCUGUAUGGAAGGGCCAUCGCUCAACGGAUAAAAGGUACUCUGGGGAUAACAGGCUGAUACCGCCCAAGAGUUCAUAUCGACGGCGGUGUUUGGCACCUCGAUGUCGGCUCAUCUCAUCCUGGGGCUGUAGCCGGUCCCAAGGGUAUGGCUGUUCGCCAUUUAAAGAGGUACGUGAGCUGGGUUUAAAACGUCGUGAGACAGUUUGGUCCCUAUCUUCCGUGGGCGCUGCAGAUUUGAGGAAGCCUGCUCCUAGUACGAGAGGACCGGAGUGGACACACCUCUGGUGUACCUGUUGUCACGCCAGUGGCAUCGCAGGGUAGCUAAGUGUGGAAGAGAUAACCGCUGAAAGCAUCUAAGCGGGAAACUCGUUUCAAGAUGAGAUCUGCCGGGGGCUUGACCCCCCUGAAGAGUCGUUCUAGACCAGGACGUUGAUAGGCUGGAUGUGGAAGUGCAGCAAUGCAUUAAGCUGACCAGUACUAAUUGCU
This 1419-nucleotide ribosomal RNA is filed under the name metagenome. RNAcentral describes it as "bacterial LSU rRNA". It matches the Rfam family "Bacterial large subunit ribosomal RNA", at positions 1499 to 2909 of the family's 2925-position model. The record is from RNAcentral.